Molecule: ribosomal RNA, 2898 nt
Filed under: Neisseria gonorrhoeae
Lineage: Bacteria; Pseudomonadati; Pseudomonadota; Betaproteobacteria; Neisseriales; Neisseriaceae
Description: bacterial LSU rRNA
Rfam family: Bacterial large subunit ribosomal RNA
Source: RNAcentral
AUAGGGUCAAGUGAAUAAGUGCAUCAGGCGGAUGCCUUGGCGAUGAUAGGCGACGAAGGACGUGUAAGCCUGCGAAAAGCGCGGGGGAGCUGGCAAUAAAGCUAUGAUUCCGCGAUGUCCGAAUGGGGAAACCCACUGCAUUCUGUGCAGUAUCCUAAGUUGAAUACAUAGGCUUAGAGAAGCGAACCCGGAGAACUGAACCAUCUAAGUACCCGGAGGAAAAGAAAUCAACCGAGAUUCCGCAAGUAGUGGCGAGCGAACGCGGAGGAGCCUGUACGUAAUAACUGUCGAGAUAGAAGAACAAGCUGGGAAGCUUGACCAUAGCGGGUGACAGUCCCGUAUUCGAAAUCUCAACAGCGGUACUAAGCGUACGAAAAGUAGGGCGGGACACGUGAAAUCCUGUCUGAAUAUGGGGGGACCAUCCUCCAAGGCUAAAUACUCAUCAUCGACCGAUAGUGAACCAGUACCGUGAGGGAAAGGCGAAAAGAACCCCGGGAGGGGAGUGAAACAGAACCUGAAACCUGAUGCAUACAAACAGUGGGAGCGCCCUAGUGGUGUGACUGCGUACCUUUUGUAUAAUGGGUCAACGACUUACAUUCAGUAGCGAGCUUAACCGGAUAGGGGAGGCGUAGGGAAACCGAGUCUUAAUAGGGCGAUGAGUUGCUGGGUGUAGACCCGAAACCGAGUGAUCUAUCCAUGGCCAGGUUGAAGGUGCCGUAACAGGUACUGGAGGACCGAACCCACGCAUGUUGCAAAAUGCGGGGAUGAGCUGUGGGUAGGGGUGAAAGGCUAAACAAACUCGGAGAUAGCUGGUUCUCCCCGAAAACUAUUUAGGUAGUGCCUCGAGCAAGACACUGAUGGGGGUAAAGCACUGUUAUGGCUAGGGGGUUAUUGCAACUUACCAACCCAUGGCAAACUCAGAAUACCAUCAAGUGGUUCCUCGGGAGACAGACAGCGGGUGCUAACGUCCGUUGUCAAGAGGGAAACAACCCAGACCGCCGGCUAAGGUCCCAAAUGAUAGAUUAAGUGGUAAACGAAGUGGGAAGGCACAGACAGCCAGGAUGUUGGCUUAGAAGCAGCCAUCAUUUAAAGAAAGCGUAAUAGCUCACUGGUCGAGUCGUCCUGCGCGGAAGAUGUAACGGGGCUCAAAUCUAUAACCGAAGCUGCGGAUGCCGGUUUACCGGCAUGGUAGGGGAGCGUUCUGUAGGCUGAUGAAGGUGCAUUGUAAAGUGUGCUGGAGGUAUCAGAAGUGCGAAUGUUGACAUGAGUAGCGAUAAAGCGGGUGAAAAGCCCGCUCGCCGAAAGCCCAAGGUUUCCUACGCAACGUUCAUCGGCGUAGGGUGAGUCGGCCCCUAAGGCGAGGCAGAAAUGCGUAGUCGAUGGGAAACAGGUUAAUAUUCCUGUACUUGAUUCAAAUGCGAUGUGGGGACGGAGAAGGUUAGGUUGGCAAGCUGUUGGAAUAGCUUGUUUAAGCCGGUAGGUGGAAGACUUAGGCAAAUCCGGGUUUUCUUAACACCGAGAAGUGAUGACGAGUGUCUACGGACACGAAGCAACCGAUACCACGCUUCCAGGAAAAGCCACUAAGCUUCAGUUUGAAUCGAACCGUACCGCAAACCGACACAGGUGGGCAGGAUGAGAAUUCUAAGGCGCUUGAGAGAACUCGGGAGAAGGAACUCGGCAAAUUGAUACCGUAACUUCGGGAGAAGGUAUGCCCUCUAAGGUUAAGGACUUGCUCCGUAAGCCCCGGAGGGUCGCAGAGAAUAGGUGGCUGCGACUGUUUAUUAAAAACACAGCACUCUGCCAACACGAAAGUGGACGUAUAGGGUGUGACGCCUGCCCGGUGCCGGAAGGUUAAUUGAAGAUGUGCAAGCAUCGGAUCGAAGCCCCGGUAAACGGCGGCCGUAACUAUAACGGUCCUAAGGUAGCGAAAUUCCUUGUCGGGUAAGUUCCGACCCGCACGAAUGGCGUAACGAUGGCCACACUGUCUCCUCCCGAGACUCAGCGAAGUUGAAGUGGUUGUGAAGAUGCAAUCUACCCGCUGCUAGACGGAAAGACCCCGUGAACCUUUACUGUAGCUUUGCAUUGGACUUUGAAGUCACUUGUGUAGGAUAGGUGGGAGGCUUGGAAGCAGAGACGCCAGUCUCUGUGGAGUCGUCCUUGAAAUACCACCCUGGUGUCUUUGAGGUUCUAACCCAGACCCGUCAUCCGGGUCGGGGACCGUGCAUGGUAGGCAGUUUGACUGGGGCGGUCUCCUCCCAAAGCGUAACGGAGGAGUUCGAAGGUUACCUAGGUCCGGUCGGAAAUCGGACUGAUAGUGCAAUGGCAAAAGGUAGCUUAACUGCGAGACCGACAAGUCGGGCAGGUGCGAAAGCAGGACAUAGUGAUCCGGUGGUUCUGUAUGGAAGGGCCAUCGCUCAACGGAUAAAAGGUACUCCGGGGAUAACAGGCUGAUUCCGCCCAAGAGUUCAUAUCGACGGCGGAGUUUGGCACCUCGAUGUCGGCUCAUCACAUCCUGGGGCUGUAGUCGGUCCCAAGGGUAUGGCUGUUCGCCAUUUAAAGUGGUACGUGAGCUGGGUUUAAAACGUCGUGAGACAGUUUGGUCUCUAUCUGCAGUGGGCGUUGGAAGUUUGACGGGGGCUGCUCCUAGUACGAGAGGACCGGAGUGGACGAACCUCUGGUGUACCGGUUGUAACGCCAGUUGCAUAGCCGGGUAGCUAAGUUCGGAAGAGAUAAGCGCUGAAAGCAUCUAAGCGCGAAACUCGCCUGAAGAUGAGACUUCCCUUGCGGUUUAACCGCACUAAAGGGUCGUUCGAGACCAGGACGUUGAUAGGUGGGGUGUGGAAGCGCGGUAACGCGUGAAGCUAACCCAUACUAAUUGCCCGUGAGGCUUGACUCUAU